This 253-nucleotide ribosomal RNA is filed under the name Sporobacter termitidis. Its description in RNAcentral is "partial 16S ribosomal RNA". It matches the Rfam family "Bacterial small subunit ribosomal RNA", at positions 524 to 776 of the family's 1533-position model. The record is from RNAcentral. Lineage: Bacteria; Bacillati; Bacillota; Clostridia; Eubacteriales; Oscillospiraceae.
UACGUAGGUGGCAAGCGUUGUCCGGAUUUACUGGGUGUAAAGGGCGUGUAGGCGGAGCUGCAAGUCAGAUGUGAAAUCUCCGGGCUUAACCCGGAAACUGCAUUUGAAACUGUAGUCCUUGAGUAUCGGAGAGGCAAGCGGAAUUCCUAGUGUAGCGGUGAAAUGCGUAGAUAUUAGGAGGAACACCAGUGGCGAAGGCGGCUUGCUGGACGACAACUGACGCUGAGGCGCGAAAGCGUGGGGAGCAAACAGG